CAGCGCCGCGGGAAUACGAAGGGUGCAAGCGUUAAUCGGAAUUACUGGGCGUAAAGCGUGCGUAGGCGGUGAGUUAAGUCUGCUGUGAAAUCCCCGGGCUCAACCUGGGAAUGGCAGUGGAUACUGGCUCGCUAGAGUGUGUCAGAGGAUGGUGGAAUUCCCGGUGUAGCGGUGAAAUGCGUAGAGAUCGGGAGGAACAUCAGUGGCGAAGGCGGCCAUCUGGGACAACACUGACGCUGAGGCACGAAAGCGUGGGGAGCAAACAGGAUUAGAUACCCGCGUAGUCACUGUCUCUUAUACC
Molecule: ribosomal RNA, 301 nt
Filed under: uncultured bacterium
Lineage: Bacteria
Description: partial 16S ribosomal RNA
Rfam family: Bacterial small subunit ribosomal RNA
Source: RNAcentral